Molecule: ribosomal RNA, 466 nt
Filed under: uncultured bacterium
Lineage: Bacteria
Description: SSU rRNA
Rfam family: Bacterial small subunit ribosomal RNA
Source: RNAcentral
AGGACAAACGCUGGCGGCGUACCUAAGACAUGCAAGUCGAACGGGCGCUUCACCUUCGGGUGGGUGUGCUAGUGGCGGACGGGUGAGUAACGCGUAGGAACCUGUCAUCAAGAGGGGGAUAACGCUGGGAAACCGGCGCUAAUACCGCAUGUGGUCAUGAAAAUGAAGAAAGCAGCAAUGCGCUUGAUGAGGGGCCUGCGUCCGAUUAGCUUGUUGGUGGGGUAAAGGCCUACCAAGGCAUCGAUCGGUAGCUGGUCUGAGAGGAUGGUCAGCCACACUGGGACUGAGACACGGCCCAGACUCCUACGGGAGGCAGCAGUUAGGAAAUUUUCCCAAUGGGCGCAAGCCUGAGGGAGUAACGCCGCGUGGAGGAUGACGGCUUUCGGGUUGUAAACUCCUUUUCUGUGGAAGAGUAGAAGACGGUACCGCAGGAAUAAGCCUCGGCUAACUACGUGCCAGCAGCCGC